GGGCCCGUAGCUCAGUUGGUAGAGCAGUUCCCUCUUAAGGAAUUGGUCGAGCGUUCGAAUCGCUCCGGGCUCAC
Molecule: transfer RNA, 74 nt
Filed under: Microgenomates group bacterium ADurb.Bin219
Lineage: Bacteria
Description: tRNA-Lys
Rfam family: tRNA
About the family: Transfer RNA (tRNA) molecules are approximately 80 nucleotides in length. Their secondary structure includes four short double-helical elements and three loops (D, anti-codon, and T loops). Further hydrogen bonds mediate the characteristic L-shaped molecular structure. tRNAs have two regions of fundamental functional importance: the anti-codon, which is responsible for specific mRNA codon recognition, and the 3' end, to which the tRNAs corresponding amino acid is attached (by aminoacyl-tRNA synthetases). tRNAs cope with the degeneracy of the genetic code in two manners: having more than one tRNA (with a specific anti-codon) for a particular amino acid; and 'wobble' base-pairing, i.e. permitting non-standard base-pairing at the 3rd anti-codon position.
Source: RNAcentral